UGGGGAAUAUUGGGCAAUGGGCGCAAGCCUGACCCAGCAACGCCGCGUGAAGGAUGAAGGCUUUCGGGUUGUAAACUUCUUUUAUCAGGGACGAAUCAAGUGACGGUACCUGAUGAAUAAGCCACGGCUAACUACGUGCCAGCAGCCGCGGUAAUACGGAGGGUGCAAGCGUUAAUCGGAAUAACUGGGCGUAAAGGGCAUGCAGGCGGUUCAUCAAGUAGGAUGUGAAAUCCCCGGGCUCAACCUGGGAACAGCAUACUAAACUGGUGGACUAGAGUAUUGCAGGGGGAGACGGAAUUCCAGGUGUAGCGGUGGAAUGCGUAGAUAUCUGGAAGAACACCAAAGGCGAAGGCAGUCUCCUGGGCAAAUACUGACGCUCAUAUGCGAAAGCGUGGGUAGCAAACAGGAUUAGAUACCCUGGUA
RNAcentral lists this ribosomal RNA (423 nucleotides) under uncultured Succinivibrio sp. Its description in RNAcentral is "bacterial SSU rRNA". It matches the Rfam family "Bacterial small subunit ribosomal RNA", at positions 355 to 792 of the family's 1533-position model. Lineage: Bacteria; Pseudomonadati; Pseudomonadota; Gammaproteobacteria; Aeromonadales; Succinivibrionaceae. The record is from RNAcentral.